Molecule: ribosomal RNA, 456 nt
Filed under: uncultured bacterium
Lineage: Bacteria
Description: bacterial SSU rRNA
Rfam family: Bacterial small subunit ribosomal RNA
Source: RNAcentral
UACGGAAGGCAGCAGGGGGAAUAUUGCACAAUGGGCGAAAGCCUGAUGCAGCUAUGCCGCGUGUAUGAAGAAGGCCUUAGGGUUGUAAAGUACUUUCAUCGGGGAGGAAAAAACAAAACUAAUAAUUUUAUUUCUUGACGUUACCCGAAAAAGAAGCACCGGCUAACUCCGUGCCAGCAGCCGCGGUAAUACGGAGGGUGCUAGCGUUAAUCAGAAUUACUGGGCGUAAAGAGCACGUAGGUGGUUUUUUUAAAGUCAGAUGUGAAAUCCCUGGGCUUAACCUAGGAACUGCAUUUUGAAACUGAAAUACUAGAGUAUCGUAGAGGGAGGUAGAAUUCUAGGUGUAGCGGUGAAAUGCGUAGAUAUCUGGAGGAAUACCUGUGGCGAAAGCGGCCUCCUAAACGAAUACUGACACUGAGGGUGCGAAAGCGUGGGGAGCAAACAGGGAUAGAUACC